UGAUUUCAGCUCACUGCAACCUCUGCCUCCUGGGUUCAAGUGAUUCUCCUGACUCAGCCUCCCGAGUUGCUGGGAUUACAGGUGCCUGCCACCUUGCCUGGCUUUUUUUUUUUUUUUUGAGACAAGGUCUGGCUCUGUCGCUCAGGCUGGAGUGCAGUGGUGUGAUCUUGACUCACUGCAACCUGCACCUUCCAGGUUCAAGGGAUUCUCCUGCCUUAGCCUCUGGAGUAGCUG
RNAcentral lists this long non-coding RNA (234 nucleotides) under Callithrix jacchus (white-tufted-ear marmoset). RNAcentral describes it as "lncRNA (ENSCJAG00000075252.1)". The record is from RNAcentral. Lineage: Eukaryota; Metazoa; Chordata; Mammalia; Primates; Cebidae.